CAAAGAAUAGGCAAGAGGGCCAACCAUGGAGAAUAUAAGACCCUUAAUUAUUUCUAUAACUAUGCUAUUUUGUUUGUCUUUAUCUGUCUGUGCAUGUUUUUUAGCAUAAAGUACUCUGCAGCCACUUAGUGUAGACACCAGGUGAGGCCACACACAUAGAUUCCUGUUGAACAAUGUCUCUUUAACUACCUUUUUUUCUCAAUAAGUCUCUCUCCUUCACUUCAUCCCUCUCUCCUCUUCUCCCUAAAUCCUCUAGGUGAACCCCUCCCGCAUCUGAACUGGCUACAUCGAGGGCACAGCAUGAUCAGAGGUAUGUUUUGACGUGAGAGAGGGUGCCAACCCCCAGUCCUGUCAUCGCCACCUUACCCGCUCUUAAGAUAACCUUUGGACCGACUGGGAGCAAAAGGCUGCUCUAUCGCCACAUCCUCUUUCUUCCUCUGUUUUUAUAAUGGAGACCAG
Long non-coding RNA from Salvelinus namaycush (lake trout), 459 nucleotides. RefSeq lists it as uncharacterized. Lineage: Eukaryota; Metazoa; Chordata; Actinopteri; Salmoniformes; Salmonidae. The transcript has 3 exons. The record is from RefSeq and is a predicted model, not a curated record.